UACGUAGGGUGCGAGCGUUGUCCGGAAUUAUUGGGCGUAAAGGGCUCGUAGGCGGUCUGUCGCGUCGGUCGUGAAAACUUGGGGCUUAACCCUGAGCUUGCGGUCGAUACGGGCAUGACUGGAGUUCGGCAGGGGAGACUGGAAUUCCUGGUGUAGCGGUGAAAUGCGCAGAUAUCAGGAGGAACACCGGUGGCGAAGGCGGGUCUCUGGGCCGAUACUGACGCUGAGGAGCGAAAGCGUGGGGAGCGAACAGG
Molecule: ribosomal RNA, 254 nt
Filed under: uncultured bacterium
Lineage: Bacteria
Description: partial 16S ribosomal RNA
Rfam family: Bacterial small subunit ribosomal RNA
Source: RNAcentral